Molecule: ribosomal RNA, 435 nt
Filed under: uncultured bacterium
Lineage: Bacteria
Description: bacterial SSU rRNA
Rfam family: Bacterial small subunit ribosomal RNA
Source: RNAcentral
AACGAACGCUGGCGGCAGGCUUAACACAUGCAAGUCGAACGGUUGUAGCAAUACAGCAGUGGCAGACGGGUGAGUAACACGUGGGAACCUUCCUAGGGGUACGGAACAACUCAGGGAAACUUGAGCUAAUACCGUAUACGUCCGUGAGGAGAAAGAUUUAUCGCCCUUAGACGGGCCCGCGUCGGAUUAGCUAGUUGGUAGGGUAAAGGCCUACCAAGGCGACGAUCCGUAGCGGGUCUGAGAGGAUGAUCCGCCACACUGGGACUGAGACACGGCCCAGACUCCUACGGGAGGCAGCAGUGGGGAAUCUUAGACAAUGGGCGCAAGCCUGAUCUAGCCAUGCCGCGUGAGCGAUGAAGGCCUUAGGGUUGUAAAGCUCUUUCAGUGGGGAAGAUAAUGACUGUACCCACAGAAGAAGCCCCGGCUAACUCCGUG